Molecule: long non-coding RNA, 811 nt
Filed under: Homo sapiens (human)
Lineage: Eukaryota; Metazoa; Chordata; Mammalia; Primates; Hominidae
Description: non-protein coding lnc-MCTS1-3:1
Source: RNAcentral
CCUUUACCCAACGGGCGUCCAGAGAAGAGGCCGUGCGUACGACUCGCUGACACCUCCCAUUUCACCUUCCUGGCAUGGAAAUUGCGAGAGCGAGAGAUUCUUGCUCCCGGUGUCGCUUUUUAUCAGACCUCUUGAUGGUUUCUCUGAUGUACCCCUGCGUCCUUGAACCCUCAUAUUGCCCACCCCCCCAGUACUCCUGGGCUGAGACCAAAACGCAAGCCACUGAAAUAGUCACGUAAUUAUGACACCAACGGUUUCCUAUUAUUACUGGAAUGAGAUCUGAAGCCCCACUGCCUGGAAUCCAAUCCUGUCUUCACCACACCUUUUGAUAUCCCAGGAAAGUUAUUUCACCUCGCUGUGCCUCAGUUCCCUCAUUUGUAAAGUACAGAAAAUGUCACAGUAGUGCCUAUUUCAUAGAAAAUUAGAUGAGAUAGUGCAUAUGACUCCCUUAGCAAAAUUUCAAGCCUAGAGUAAGCAUUUACUAAAAAGUACUGGCUGUUAUUAUUCACCCCAGUAUUUCUAGUACUUAACCACAGUGCCAGCACGCAGUGGACAGUAAAUAUUAGUGGAAUUAAUGAAUAUUAGAACUACAGCUGAGGAACCAGGCCUAAAAAGGAUAAGGAAAUUUCAAAAGUCCACACAGCAAGUUAAUGGCAGAGGUGGGACUGGAAUCCAGGUCUCUUUUUUUUUUUUUUUUGAGACGGAGUUUCACUCUUGUUGCCCAGGCUGGAGUGCAAUGGCACGAUCUCGGCUCACUGCAACCUCUGCCUCCCGGGUUCAAGCGAUUCUUCUACCUCAGCCUCCCUAGCAG